AUACGUAGGUGGCGAGCGUUAUCCGGAAUUACUGGGUGUAAAGGGCGCGUAGGCGGGCGUGCAAGUUAGAUGUGAAAACCUGGGGCUCAACUCCAGACUGGCAUCUAAAACUGCACAUCUUGAGUGUCAGAGGGGGAAAGUGGAAUUCCUGGUGGAGCGGUAAAAUGCGUAGAGAUCAGGAGGAACACCGGUGGCGAAGGCGACUUUCUGGCUGACAACUGACGCUGAGGCGCGAAAGCGUGGGGAGCGAACAGGAUUAGAUACCCUGGUAGUCCACGCUGUAAACGAUGAUUACUAGGUGUAGGGGGUAUCGUCUCCCUCUGUGCCGCAGUUAACGCAGUAAGUAAUCCACCUGGGGAGUACGGUCGCAAGAUUAAAACUCAAAUGAAUUGACGGGG
RNAcentral lists this ribosomal RNA (398 nucleotides) under uncultured bacterium. RNAcentral's name for it is "partial 16S ribosomal RNA". It matches the Rfam family "Bacterial small subunit ribosomal RNA", at positions 523 to 918 of the family's 1533-position model. The record is from RNAcentral.